This 417-nucleotide ribosomal RNA is filed under the name uncultured eukaryote. RNAcentral's name for it is "SSU rRNA". It matches the Rfam family "Eukaryotic small subunit ribosomal RNA", at positions 567 to 990 of the family's 1831-position model. The record is from RNAcentral.
CCAGCAGCUGCGGUAAGUCCGGCUCCAAUAGCGUAUAUUUAAGUUGUUGCAGUUAAAAAGCUCGUAGUUGGAUUUCGGGCGGGUGACGGCGGUCCGCCUCUGGUGUGCACUGCUGCUCAUCCGCCUUACUGUCGGGGAUGGGCUCCUGGGCUUCACUGUCCGGGACCCGGGUUCGACAUGGUUACUUUGAGUAAAUUAGAGUGUUCAAAGCAGACGUUCGCCCUGAAUACAUUAGCAUGGAAUAGCACGAUAGGACUCUGGCCUAUUCUGCUGGUAUGUAGGACCGGAGUAAUGAUUAACAGGGACAGUCGGGGGCAUUCGUAUUUCAUUGUCAGAGGUGAAAUUCUUGGAUUUAUGAAAGACGAACUUCUGCUAAAGCAUUUGCCAAGGAUGUUUUCAUUGAUCAAGAACGAAAGU